UUUGACGUGCUUCUGUUUACAGAAUUGUUUGCUACGUUAACUUUUGUUCAAGUAAUGACACAGUUAACCAUUAUCAACACCGAUAUAGCACCGAUAUUUUAGCUUAAAGAGUUUUUCAUGUUUUAGUUUAAUAAGAAGAGUUGUUAAGCUUUACUUAAGUCACUAUUCUUUUUAGUUUAGUUAAUUGUGGGAGACGGAGCAUAACAAACGUACAUUGAAACAUAAAAAAUUUAUUGGCAUUAUUGUCAUUAUUAAUUAAUGGCAAAUAAGCAUAAAAGCAUAUAAUUGUUACAUUUUAUGGGCCAGAUCUUUAGAUAAUGAUGCGCUUACAGAAUAGCGUAGUAUAGCGCGUGCAUUAUAUGUACGGCAUCUGAGAACGAUAUUGCGAUUACAGCUAAGAAGCGCAAGUGUAACUGGCAAAAUGAAGGCCAAAAAAGGAAGGCGCUGUUGGACACAGGCGAUUUGCUACAGAGGCAAAUCGAUCGUCUCUUUCAAGAGACGGUCCAACAAAUAUUAAGGAAGGAAAAUCAAUUAUCAAGGGGGGAAAAAUGGCGGUUUUCUUUUUCGCGAGAUCGCAAGUGAU
Molecule: long non-coding RNA, 583 nt
Organism: Glossina fuscipes
Lineage: Eukaryota; Metazoa; Arthropoda; Insecta; Diptera; Glossinidae
Exons: 3
Source: RefSeq, a predicted model, not a curated record